CCCUCUGUGGCUCAGUUGGUAGAGCAUGGUGUUUGUAAUGCCAGCAUGGUGUGUGCAACGCCAGGGUUGUGGGUUUGAUUCCCAUGGGGGGC
RNAcentral lists this transfer RNA (92 nucleotides) under Salmo salar (Atlantic salmon). It matches the Rfam family "tRNA". Rfam says of the family: Transfer RNA (tRNA) molecules are approximately 80 nucleotides in length. Lineage: Eukaryota; Metazoa; Chordata; Actinopteri; Salmoniformes; Salmonidae. The record is from Rfam by way of RNAcentral.